RNAcentral lists this ribosomal RNA (465 nucleotides) under Vreelandella stevensii. Its description in RNAcentral is "partial 16S ribosomal RNA". It matches the Rfam family "Bacterial small subunit ribosomal RNA", at positions 338 to 795 of the family's 1533-position model. The record is from RNAcentral. Lineage: Bacteria; Pseudomonadati; Pseudomonadota; Gammaproteobacteria; Oceanospirillales; Halomonadaceae.
CCUACGGGCGGCAGCAGUGGGGAAUAUUGGACAAUGGGCGAAAGCCUGAUCCAGCCAUGCCGCGUGUGUGAAGAAGGCCUUCGGGUUGUAAAGCACUUUCAGUGGGGAAGAAAGCCUUGGGGCUAAUACCCUCGAGGAAGGACAUCACCCACAGAAGAAGCACCGGCUAACUCCGUGCCAGCAGCCGCGGUAAUACGGAGGGUGCGAGCGUUAAUCGGAAUUACUGGGCGUAAAGCGCGCGUAGGCGGUCUGAUAAGCCGGUUGUGAAAGCCCCGGGCUCAACCUGGGAACGACAUCCGGAACUGUCAGGCUAGAGUGCAGGAGAGGAAGGUAGAAUUCCCGGUGUAGCGGUGAAAUGCGUAGAGAUCGGGAGGAAUACCAGUGGCGAAGGCGGCCUUCUGGACUGACACUGACGCUGAGGUGCGAAAGCGUGGGUAGCAAACAGGAUUUGAUACCCCAGUAGUC